This is a long non-coding RNA of Lontra canadensis (Northern American river otter), 700 nucleotides long. RefSeq lists it as uncharacterized. NCBI's taxonomy places the organism in Eukaryota, Metazoa, Chordata, Mammalia, Carnivora, Mustelidae. The record is from RefSeq and is a predicted model, not a curated record. The transcript is spliced from 2 exons.
GCGGCGGGAUCAGGAAGGACACUGGGAGGGAGGCAAGACGGUGAUAAAUCCCUGUAGGGCGAUUCGGAGGGUACAGAACAGGCUCUGCUGAGGUCCUCUACUCUUCACCUCUCGCCGCCCUCCUCACCCAACCCCCUCCCCCCACCGCGCCCCGCCGGAGUUCCAGCAUCCUUGCAACCAGUUGAAUCAAAUCCCAGCUUAGGAGCCCGGGGAACGGAAUUGGUUUCUGAAUGUGAAAUAGGUCUGACCCACUGGGGAAGCCCAGAGAGGAACGUCCGGAGGGCCUUUACCCGAGCUGGGUGGGAGGCGAACGGGUCCCGCGCGCGAGCUGGCGGCAGGCAGCAAGGCGCAGAGGCCGAGCCCCCGAGCCCCAGAUCUCCGCUCGGGGCCCCGCGGCCUGCUCGGUCGUUGCCCCUCCGGCGCCGGGCGGGUGAUUGGCAGUUGCCGCAGCUUUAGGGGAACGCGGGUAUCCAGGACCCGCGGCCGCUGCUGGUUGUCCGCUCGCUGGCAGCGACGUUCCCGCGGCUCCGUGACCGGGCCUCGGCGGGAGCAGCCACGACGGCGGCGACCUCGGGUGGGAGCCCGGGAGGCUCGCGGAAUCUUGCGAUAAUUCUGCCGCCACGACUUGAACCGUGUGCGACGCGAGCUUGAAACAAGCAUCACAUCUAAAUUUAAAAAAAAAAAAAAAAAAAAAAAAAAG